Molecule: ribosomal RNA, 484 nt
Filed under: uncultured bacterium
Lineage: Bacteria
Description: partial 16S ribosomal RNA
Rfam family: Bacterial small subunit ribosomal RNA
Source: RNAcentral
AUUGAACGCUGGCGGCAUGCUUUACACAUGCAAGUCGAACGGCAGCGCGGGCUUCGGCCUGGCGGCGAGUGGCGAACGGGUGAGUAAUGCAUCGGAACGUGCCCAGGAGUGGGGGAUAGCCCGGCGAAAGCCGGAUUAAUACCGCAUACGACCUGAGGGUGAAAGCGGGGGACCGAAAGGCCUCGCGCGAUUGGAUCGGCCGAUGUCGGAUUAGCUAGUUGGUGGGGUAAAGGCUUACCAAGGCGACGAUCCGUAGCUGGUCUGAGAGGACGACCAGCCACACUGGGACUGAGACACGGCCCAGACUCCUACGGGAGGCAGCAGUGGGGAAUUUUGGACAAUGGGGGCAAGCCUGAUCCAGCCAUGCCGCGUGAGGGAAGAAGGCCUUCGGGUUGUAAACCGCUUUUGUUCGGGAAGAAAUCCUCUGGGCUAAUACCCCGAGGGGAUGACGGUACCAGAAGAAUAAGCACCGGCUAACUACGUG